UCCACCCAUUGAGAGAGAGAGCCAUUGUUGUCUUGCAUAUCAAGUGGAAAACCAUUCCUCAUAUUUGUCUUGGAUAUUCUUGUGAAAGCCAUACCUCUUAUCAAGUGGAAAACCAUUCUCCAUUUUUGGUCUUAGAUAAAUUCUUGUGAAAGCCAAUACUUCAAGAAGGACAUUCUUCAAGAAGGAUCAAGGAGCUUUCAAAGCCAAACGUUUGGACAAUCAUCAAAAGGACUAAGGAUUUCCACUUAUGGAUUCAGGUACGCUUCCGCUUAUGUUGUUAUUCCAAACAAUUCGAUAUGAA
Molecule: long non-coding RNA, 301 nt
Filed under: Nicotiana benthamiana
Lineage: Eukaryota; Viridiplantae; Streptophyta; Magnoliopsida; Solanales; Solanaceae
Description: long non-coding RNA (NBEN_LNC037962)
Source: RNAcentral